Molecule: ribosomal RNA, 325 nt
Filed under: uncultured bacterium
Lineage: Bacteria
Description: bacterial SSU rRNA
Rfam family: Bacterial small subunit ribosomal RNA
Source: RNAcentral
GACGAACGCUGGCGGCGUGCCUAAUACAUGCAAGUCGAACGAAGCGCUUGAAUGGAAUUCUUCGGAAGGAAGCUCAAGUGACUGAGUGGCGGACGGGUGAGUAACGCGUGGGUAACCUGCCUCAUACAGGGGGAUAACAGUUAGAAAUGACUGCUAAUACCGCAUAAGCACACGUGAUCGCAUGAUCGAGUGUGAAAAACUCCGGUGGUAUGAGAUGGACCCGCGUCUGAUUAGGUAGUUGGUGGGGUAACGGCCUACCAAGCCGACGAUCAGUAGCCGACCUGAGAGGGUGACCGGCCACAUUGGGACUGAGACACGGCCCAAA